RNAcentral lists this ribosomal RNA (255 nucleotides) under uncultured bacterium. RNAcentral's name for it is "partial 16S ribosomal RNA". It matches the Rfam family "Bacterial small subunit ribosomal RNA", at positions 524 to 776 of the family's 1533-position model. The record is from RNAcentral.
UACGGAGGGUGCGAGCGUUGUCCGGAAUCAUUGGGCGUAAAGGGCGCGUAGGUGGCCCGGUCAGUUCGUGGUGAAAGCGCGGGGCUCAACCCUGCGUCGGCCAUGAAUACUGCCGCGGCUGGAGCACUGUAGAGGCAGGCGGAAUUCCGGGUGUAGCGGUGGAAUGCGUAGAGAUUACAUGGAAUACCAAUUGCGAAGGCAGGUUACUACUAAUGGAUUGGACGCUGAUGGACGAAAGCGUGGGUAGCGAACAGG